RNAcentral lists this ribosomal RNA (441 nucleotides) under uncultured bacterium. RNAcentral describes it as "partial 16S ribosomal RNA". It matches the Rfam family "Bacterial small subunit ribosomal RNA", at positions 338 to 795 of the family's 1533-position model. The record is from RNAcentral.
CCUACGGGUGGCAGCAGUGGGGGAUAUUGCACAAUGGGGGAAACCCUGAUGCAGCGACACCGCGUGGGUGAAGAAGCGCUUCGGCGUGUAAAGCCCUAUCAGCGGGGAAGAAAAUGGACGGUACCCAAAGAAGAAGCACCGGCUAAAUACGUGGCAGCAGCCGCGGUAAUACGGAGGGUGCAAGCGUUAUCCGGAAUGACUGGGGGUAAAGGGAGCGUAGACGGUUGUACAAGUCUGAUGUGAAAGCCCACGGCUCAACUGUGGUAGUGCAGUGGAAACUGGGGGACUAGAGUAUCGGGGAGGCAAGUGGAAUGCCUGGUGUAGCGGUGAAAUGCGUAGAUAUUAGGAGGAACACCAGUGGCGAAGGCGGCUUGCUGUACGAAAACUGACGUUGAGGCUCGAAAGCGUGGGGAGCAAACAGGAUUAGAUACCCUAGUAGUC